ACCAAUCUCCUCCUCGGUUCAAAUGUAACCAAUUUGUUCCAUGAUAUACCCGAUGAAUUUCACCGAAUUAUAUCUUAUCAUCCACAUGUGUACAACGAUAUACAUUUUACACACAUCCACAUAAAUACAUGCAUAAAAUCAAAGAUUAAUUCGAAGCAAAUUCUGCAGCACAUGGAAUAAUUCCUUGAAACAGAAUUCAACAUGCAUAAUAUUACAUCACUCUCACACAAGCUCUUCACAAAGUUUUUUGUGG
This 253-nucleotide long non-coding RNA is filed under the name Erythranthe guttata (spotted monkey flower). RNAcentral's name for it is "long non-coding RNA (EGUT_LNC001222)". The record is from RNAcentral. Lineage: Eukaryota; Viridiplantae; Streptophyta; Magnoliopsida; Lamiales; Phrymaceae.